CCAGGACCAGCAGGGUGCUCCCACCCCACCUCCACUGGUGCCUGACUCCCAGUCCAGGGAAACAGAGGUGCCUUUCCCACAUCAAGAAACCCAGGAGACUGUGCACUGCCUUGCCCCAAGAAGGAAAGAAGAGGUGAAACUGGAGCUGCCGACUGAUGGGGUGUGUUCUUGGCAGGAUAGCCCAGCCUCAGUUCCUCAAAUGCCUCAGCGACCACCAACGUCUGAUAUGUUAGUGGUUCCCAUUGUGAAGGACAUACCAUUCCUGGAUAAGGCUGUAAAAAGGCGUCUGGAGCGUCACAUUAUAAAAAAGCAGAUACAGCGGUGCUUUGGGCUGCCAGCAAAGGUCCUGGCCUAUGAGAAGGACUUUGUAGAACCUAUCCUGGAGCAACAAGAAUCCCAGCCCCCAUCUUCGCAGAGGCGCACUGGGCAGCCCUACUGGUCACCCUUCCAGCAGUGGGACAGGCGCACCACAAAGUCAGCAGUGCGACCCCCUGGCCUGCAGCAAGAGUCCACAGCCCAAAAGAAUACAUGCACACGAGGGACACAGACACCAGCCCACUUUGUGCCAGCAGCUAUUUCAAGAGUGGCACAAGGGAUGCCUCAGGAGGAUGGGAAGAGACCACAUUGGAAAAGGGAGUCUGGAGGAACAGCCAGAAGCAGCAGCAUGACCAGCAAGAAGACUAUGCCUUGCACCAAGAAGGAUCAGGGCUCUGGGACACAAAGUGAUGGUCAAGGUACUUCCCCUUCCAUCCAGGAAGAGCAGGCACCACCACUGAGCGAGGGAGCUCCCCAGGGGCAAUCAGGACAGGACUGUGUGAGCCCCAUCAUCUCCACUGAGACACAAGAAUUGCAACUGGAGAAGAAUGUUCCCAUGGGAGAAGCACAGCACUCCCAGGAAGGCCAGAGCGGCAUCAGUGGGGAUGUGUGGUCACCUGAGCUGCCAUCCAACAGGACAUCUUCUCCAAGAAGUAGUUCCCCACAGACACAGCGCUGCUCUGAUGAGACACCCUCAGCUCUGCCAGUGCCUCCAGACUCUGCUGGGACCAGUAUGCAGAUCCCCUACCUGGAAGAGCUGCUCACAACACUCGUGGACUGCUUCAUGGCCAGAACAGCUGCUGAAAACCUGCAGAACCAGCUGCUGGCUUUAUGGCUGGAGCAGAAUUCAAGCACGGAGCAUGCAGCAGAGCACCCCGUUGCCUCACCACACAGAAGACCAAAAGAAUCACAGAAGAGCAAGAGGCACACCCAGGAUGGAUCUGGCUCCAGGAGACGCUGCCCCAAGUGCAGCAGAUCCCCGCACCACAAC
This 1306-nucleotide long non-coding RNA is filed under the name Anas platyrhynchos platyrhynchos (common mallard). RNAcentral's name for it is "lncRNA (ENSAPLG00000020707.1)". The record is from RNAcentral. Lineage: Eukaryota; Metazoa; Chordata; Aves; Anseriformes; Anatidae.